RNAcentral lists this unclassified non-coding RNA (200 nucleotides) under Herpotrichiellaceae sp. RNAcentral describes it as "partial internal transcribed spacer 2". The record is from RNAcentral. Lineage: Eukaryota; Fungi; Ascomycota; Eurotiomycetes; Chaetothyriales; Herpotrichiellaceae.
UUAAGUUCAGCGCGUAUUCCUACCUGAUCCGAGGUCAACCUUGAAAAGUUUCCUUGUGAAAGGAGAGGACCGGGUCCUGGGCGCCCUUAUCCGAUACGUGCUCAGUUAAAAGCUCAGUGUACCGGGGGAACCACAGGCCGCCGUCAUUGUCUUUAGGAGGGGUCGAGUUACCUCGACCAGGCCGUCCAAUACCAAGCACG